AGUGAACGCUGGCGGCAGGCCUAACACAUGCAAGUCGAACGGCAGCAUAGGAGAGCUUGCUCUCUGGGUGGCGAGUGGCGGACGGGUGAGGAAUAUAUCGGAAUCUACCCUUUCGUGGGGGAUAACGUAGGGAAACUUACGCUAAUACCGCAUACGAACUGAGGUUGAAAGCGGCGGACCGCAAGGCGUCGCGCGGAUGGAUGAGCCGAUAUCCGAUUAGCUAGUUGGCGGGGUAAAGGCCCACCAAGGCGACGAUCGGUAGCUGGUCUGAGAGGAUGAUCAGCCAAACUGGAACGGAGACACGGUCCAGACUCCUACGGGAGGCAGCAGUGGGGAAGAUUGGACAAUGGGCGCAAGCCUGAUCCAGCCAUGCCGCGUGUGUGAAGAAGGCCUUCGGGUUGUAAAGCACUUUUGUUGGGAAAGAAAAGCGGUCGGUUAAUACCCGGUCGUUCUGACGGUACCCAAAGAAUAAGCACCGGCUAACUUCGUGCCAGCAGCCGCCGUAA
This 506-nucleotide ribosomal RNA is filed under the name uncultured bacterium. Its description in RNAcentral is "partial 16S ribosomal RNA". It matches the Rfam family "Bacterial small subunit ribosomal RNA", at positions 29 to 523 of the family's 1533-position model. The record is from RNAcentral.